This is a long non-coding RNA of Mugil cephalus (flathead mullet), 500 nucleotides long. RefSeq lists it as uncharacterized. The transcript has 3 exons. NCBI's taxonomy places the organism in Eukaryota, Metazoa, Chordata, Actinopteri, Mugiliformes, Mugilidae. The record is from RefSeq and is a predicted model, not a curated record.
UUGAUGAUGAUGAUGAUAUAUUAAAAUAAUGCAAAUACUCCAGUUACAUGAAUCAUAGCAAAAGUGGUCAAUGUUGGAGCUAGGGAGGAAUGUUUAAUGCUGAUUUUCUUGGCAACUUCAACUGCACCUGCCAGCCAAGGGCAAGUCAAGGCACGACCUGAGAAAUGGGCACACUCAUACAAAGGGUAGCUGUGGAAACGGUUGUGUUACUCCAGCAGUGGUCACUUGCAACCAGGGCAGAGAAACUGCAGGGACCACAGCUUUAAGGUAUUCAUUUAUGGGAGGAAGUACCGAGUACCGGAACAAACACGGAGAGAAAAUGCAAACUUCUAACAGAAAGGCCCCAGUCAGCUGGUGGAUUCAAGCCCAGAACCUUUUUGCAGUGUGGCAUCAGUGCCAACCUCCAGCUUUAAGAUACCAACCUUAGCUUUAAGGCACCCCCUCACCAUCCCCAAGUCUAACUUCAGCCUCUGGUUCCCAGCAGUAACCAGAUUCUGGUC